This 433-nucleotide ribosomal RNA is filed under the name uncultured bacterium. RNAcentral describes it as "partial 16S ribosomal RNA". It matches the Rfam family "Bacterial small subunit ribosomal RNA", at positions 29 to 507 of the family's 1533-position model. The record is from RNAcentral.
AACGAACGCUGGCGGCAUGCCUAACACAUGCAAGUCGAACGAGACCUUCGGGUCUAGUGGCGCACGGGUGCGUAACGCGUGGGAACCUGCCCUUAGGUUCGGAAUAACUCCCCGAAAGGGGUGCUAAUACCGGAUAAUGUCUUCGGACCAAAGAUUUAUCGCCUUUGGAUGGGCCCGCGUUGGAUUAGCUAGUUGGUAGGGUAAAAGCCUACCAAGGCGACGAUCCAUAGCUGGUCUGAGAGGAUGAUCAGCCACACUGGGACUGAGACACGGCCCAGACUCUUACGGGAGGCAGCAGUGGGGAAUAUUGGACAAUGGGCGAAAGCCUGAUCCAGCAAUGCCGCGUGAGUGAUGAAGGCCUUAGGGUUGUAAAGCUCUUUUACCCGGGAUGAUAAUGACAGUACCGUGAGAAUAAGCUCCGGCUAACUCCGUG